AACAAAGUGGGCUUUGUACACUUGCUGGUGCCAUUUGUGGCAGAGAAGGACUUUCUCGGAUUGCUUUGGGAUGAUGAAGAGCGUGUCUCUCAUCCAAAAACUGAAAUGAUACCUUCAGGUGUUCCAUACUCCAAAGAGUUAAAACGGAUCAGUAAAUCAGUGGAGGAGAAGCAGCAUCCCCCUGAUGGGAUUGAAACCCAGUGGGAGGGAGGACUUUGCAACCUGAGAGGCUGUGUCAGACUUCCUGAGCUGCAGAGUUAAGGCAUAUCACCUCUUUUCCCCAUUCCAGAGGUAAGUGACUGCUGCAGUUGGGGUGAAGGGGUAGUACUUAAGCGAUGAACGUCUUUGAUACCUAGCCCAGGGUUUAGCACAUGGUGGCCCAUGAAUGCUCGUUGAAGGAAUGGAGAGAAAGAGAGAGAGAAUAUGCGGGAGUCAGUGACUGUCUUUACUGCCUUUCUGCCCUUUGAGGCAGUUCUUACUCUUCUUCCUCCCUCCCCAUGAGCAAACCAGGGGUCUGUAUGGGAACUGGGUCCACUAAACUUUGUUUUGCAUGAGCUGCUGGGCUUUCCAGCAAGUUCACAAGUUGCCAGUGUGGUUUCAUACAAAGGCUUCACUCACAUAUAUUAAUUCACCCUUAACAUACAGGAAGACACCAGCAAGAUUUUAUAGUGUGUGGAGGGUGUUUUGAACCAGGAACCAGAUUCCCAGUUUCCCUUGCACCUACUCUUUCCCUUUGAAGUCAACAGGAGCCCUGCUCAGGGUGUCUAGAGAGAAACAAGAAUCUGGUCUAAGUGAAUUGUUAGGAAAAUGCAUUAAAGUACUAAAGUAAGAUUAUGUUACCCAGAAAAAAUACACUGUGGCCAACAGAAACUGCAAUCACAGCCAUCUGAAGGGGGUCCUGUGGUCAGAGAAAAGAAGAAAACAUAUUUUAAAAAUUCAAUUAAUGUGUUCAGUUGCCUCAAAGGAAAUAAAGGCCCAUUGUCUUUUAUGUGUUUAAAAUAUGAAUCGCCAAUUAAUGAUGAGAUUGGCAAAUUGCUCUACAAUUAAAAACAUAGAAAUGUUGUUUAAGGCUAUUAGAAUAAUGGUCAUA
This 1090-nucleotide long non-coding RNA is filed under the name Bos grunniens (domestic yak). RNAcentral's name for it is "lncRNA (ENSBGRG00000014472.1)". Lineage: Eukaryota; Metazoa; Chordata; Mammalia; Artiodactyla; Bovidae. The record is from RNAcentral.